This 1137-nucleotide ribosomal RNA is filed under the name Triticum aestivum (bread wheat). RNAcentral's name for it is "partial small subunit ribosomal RNA". Lineage: Eukaryota; Viridiplantae; Streptophyta; Magnoliopsida; Poales; Poaceae. The record is from RNAcentral.
AUGGCCAAGCCGGCUCCGACUAAGAACGCCGGCGACGCAGCAACGGCGGUGGUGCCAGUGCCGAGUCCGUUCGAGUACCAUGUCUAUGGCCCCCGCAAGCUGUCCUUCACCAGCUGGAGAGAUCUUCUUAGCUCAAGCUGGAAGAACCCCAACUACCGGCGGAUGGUGAUCGCGUGCUUCAUCCAGGGGGCGUACCUGCUGGAGCUGGACCGGCAGGAGAAGCGCGACGAGCGCACCGGCCUCGCGCCGCAGUGGUGGCGCCCGUUCAAGUACAGGCUGGUCCAGGCGCUCGUCGACGAGCGCGACGGCUCCAUCUACGGCGCCGUCCUCGAGUGGGACCGCCAGGCCGCGCUCUCGGACUACAUCCCGUUCCGCCCCACCAGCGCGCCCGCCGCCGUCGUGGCGCUGCGCGGCACGCUGCUCAAGGCGCCCACGUUCCGCCGCGACGUCGUCGACGACCUCCGCUUCCUGGCCUGGGACAGCCUCAAGGGCUCCGUCCGCUUCGCCGGCGCGCUGGCGGCGCUGCGGGCGGCCGCGCGCAAGUUCGGCGUGGCCAACGUGUGCGUGGGCGGGCACUCGCUGGGCGCCGGGUUCGCGCUGCAGGUGGGCAAGGCGCUGGCCAAGGAGGGCGUCUUCGUGGAGUGCCACGUGUUCAACCCGCCGUCCGUGUCGCUGGCCAUGAGCCUCAAGGGCUUCGCCGAGACGGCCGGCGAGCUGUGGGGCCGCGUGCGCGCUUGGAUACCCUACAUGGGCACCCAAGCCGGGGACGCCGGCGGCGGCGGCAACAGCGAGAGCGAGGCCAAGGCGUCGCUGGCCCGCGCCGGGAUGGCCAAGUGGCUGCCGCACCUCUACAUCAACACCAACGACUACAUCUGCUGCUACUACAGCGACGCCGCGAGCGGCACGGCCACGGUGGCCGUCGGCAGCGGGGGCGGGAGCGGCACUAGCAAGGCCGGCGUGGCGAGGAUGGUGGUUGUUUCCAAGGGGCCGAGCAAGUUCCUGGCCGCGCACGGGCUGGAGCAGUGGUGGGCUGACGAUGUCGAGCUGCAGGUGGCGCUCAACCACAGCAAACUCGUCGACCGCCAGCUCAGGUCGCUCUACGCCCCGCCACCGGCCGCACCGGGCGCUCGGAGUUAG